AGCCAUCGGAAACGGUGGGGACGGCCGGCGGGGAGAAUCUGGGAAGCCCGGUGAGACUCCGGCACAGGCCCGCUGCGGUGAACCGAGCCUUCCGUCCAGGAAGGACCCGGCAAGUCCGAAGACCGGCCUCGCGCCCGUCCCUUAC
Molecule: non-coding RNA, 145 nt
Organism: Nocardiopsis dassonvillei subsp. dassonvillei DSM 43111
Lineage: Bacteria; Bacillati; Actinomycetota; Actinomycetes; Streptosporangiales; Nocardiopsidaceae
Source: Rfam